RNAcentral lists this ribosomal RNA (488 nucleotides) under uncultured bacterium. RNAcentral's name for it is "bacterial SSU rRNA". It matches the Rfam family "Bacterial small subunit ribosomal RNA", at positions 28 to 528 of the family's 1533-position model. The record is from RNAcentral.
GACGAACGCUGGCGGCGUGCCUAACACAUGCAAGUCGAACGGACAUUAAUUUUUCGGAAUUGAUGUUAGUGGCGGACGGGUGAGUAACGCGUGAGCAACCUGCCUUUCAGAGGGGGAUAACGUAUGGAAACGUACGCUAAUACCGCAUGACAUAUAUUUGCCGCAUGGCAGAUAUAUCAAAGGAGCAAUCCGCUGAGAGAUGGGCUCGCGUCCGAUUAGAUAGUUGGUGGGGUAACGGCCUACCAAGUCAGCGAUCGGUAGCCGGACUGAGAGGUUGAACGGCCACAUUGGGACUGAGACACGGCCCAGACUCCUACGGGAGGCAGCAGUGGGGGAUAUUGCACAAUGGGCGAAAGCCUGAUGCAGCAACGCCGCGUGAGGGAAGACGGUUUUCGGAUUGUAAACCUCUGUCUUUGGUGACGAAACAAAUGACGGUAGCCAAGGAGGAAGCCACGGCUAACUACGUGCCAGCAGCCGCGGUAAUCUGU